UAGUGGGGGACAACAUGUGGAAACGCAUGCUAAUACCGCAUACGCCCUACGGGGGAAAGGAGGGGAUCUUCGGACCUUUCGCUAUCAGAUGAGCCUGCGUGAGAUUAGCUAGUUGGUGGGGUAAAGGCUCACCAAGGCGACGAUCUCUAGCUGGUCUGAGAGGAUGAUCAGCCACACUGGGACUGAGACACGGCCCAGACUCCUACGGGAGGCAGCAGUGGGGAAUAUUGGACAAUGGGCGCAAGCCUGAUCCAGCCAUGCCGCGUGUGUGAAGAAGGCCUUCGGGUUGUAAAGCACUUUCAGAGGUGAGGAAGGGUACGUAGUUAAUACCUGCGUACUUUGACGUUAACCUCAGAAGAAGCACCGGCUAACUCUGUGCCAGCAGCCGCGGUAAUACAGAGGGUGCGAGCGUUAAUCGGAAUUACUGGGCGUAAAGCGCGCGUAGGCGGUUUGUUAAGUCGGAUGUGAAAUCCCAGGGCUCAACCUUGGAAUUGCACCCGAUACUGGCAGGCUAGAGUACGGUAGAGGGGUGUGGAAUUUCCUGUGUAGCGGUGAAAUGCGUAGAUAUAGG
Molecule: ribosomal RNA, 571 nt
Filed under: uncultured Marinomonas sp.
Lineage: Bacteria; Pseudomonadati; Pseudomonadota; Gammaproteobacteria; Oceanospirillales; Oceanospirillaceae
Description: bacterial SSU rRNA
Rfam family: Bacterial small subunit ribosomal RNA
Source: RNAcentral